RNAcentral lists this long non-coding RNA (15584 nucleotides) under Capsicum annuum. Its description in RNAcentral is "long non-coding RNA (CANN_LNC018271)". Lineage: Eukaryota; Viridiplantae; Streptophyta; Magnoliopsida; Solanales; Solanaceae. The record is from RNAcentral.
AUAAGGAAAGAAAACACUGAUCUCAUGACAAUACUUCAAACUUUGAAUAUAAUUCAACCCAGGCAAAACUAUCACCCACCAAAAUAAAAAAUGCAAUCUUGAGUAACGACAAGACGGAACAUUACUAGUUCAACAGUUACAAUAACGACAAAUAGUGACGGCAAGAAAAACCAAAGAAUGUUUCAAUCCUCUUCCUCUUUCCGACCGAGUCAAACGGACUGGUCAUUGAGAUAUCCUAGGAUUUUUGGUACUUUUUUUUGGACCUUACUCUCAUUUUCCCUUUGGCAUAUAAUAAACCAAAGGAGCCUACGAGGUGGUCCUGCUAGCAACACUGCUAGCUUGACAGCCGUGACACCAACUACUUGUAACCACAUGAUCAACACAGUCAAACAACAACUACGAACCAAAUAGCAUCUGGCUAGAAACUGCUAAAUAAACUAAAAGCAACAAACAUUAGCCAGAAAACCAAUCAUUCUAGCCACAAGCAAUACGCCAAGAGAGGCAUUAGGCUGAAGAUUAAUCCAUAACAAUAAAAGUGGAUGACAGAUUACGGAACCAAGAUGAAAAAAAUGAAUAGACGAAAACGACGUGAUACAAUCCAAAUAAGAAUUAAUCCUAACAUAACAAUACAUCCAAAACUUUUCACUAAAAAAAACUUAUAUGGUCUUUAAAACCUCUACAGAGGUCAGCCCAACAUACAAGAUAAUCUCAAAUUACUUAGGACUACAGAAUAGUGAGAUGAAGCAGAAGAAAUCUUAAGCUUAAAGGAAUAGGACGUUACCUUUCAGGGAGCGGCAAAACGGGACUGGAGCUAUCAGUAAAAUUGUCACCACGGGGAGCUAAUAUUUUCGACUCGGGAAUUCCCAAUCAAUCGACUAGCUUCCCAGAAAAGAAUGAAUGAGAGAAUUUUUGCGAAAUAAACUUUUACUUUAAGAAUUUCCCAAAAUUCAAACCUAGCUUUGGAAAUAGUAUCCCUAAAAGAAUAACCACCACCACCACCCCCCUCCCAAUUUUCGAAACAGCCUUUCGAACCAGCCUAAAAAAUUUUCCUUCAGUUUCUUUCAAAACCUCUGAAUCUUUGACCUAAACUUCGAACUAAAAAACUCAGAACUUUUCCUUUCUCUCAGACCUCAAAAAUUCAAACCCUAAAAAUGACGCAGAAGAAAACCCUUCCCUUUUCGAACCACCCCCAUUUUUGACUAAUUAAUUUUUUUAUUUUUCUAAGAGCCUAAAAAGAGAAAAUCCCCUUCCAAAAGAGAAAGAAUAUCACUAAAACAGUGGGCCCAAGGGACUUUAUAUAGAAGAAAGGGUUAGGGUAUUUUCGAAAUUCGGAAGAAGGAAUUUUGAAUUCCAAUUCCAAAAUUUUCUCCCCCCGAGCCUGUUUUCAUCCAUCGAUUGUACCCUUUUUUGUUGUUUCUCAUGAAAUUCGAAAAUGGAGUAGCCAAUAGAAAGCACUUCACCCCAAGAACCAAUGAUAAAUCUCCACCAACGUAUGAAUUUGUACCAUGGUACCCGAGAUUCGUGGGAUUUGAACGUUGGGGUGUGCCAACUCACCCAUUUCUAGAAGCUUUCUUGAAUUUUUAUGGCAAACACAUGCCAUCUAGGCGGGUCAAAGUUGGUUCGACGUUGGUGUUGUUGUUUCGGGUAUGGGAGACGGGUUCGCUGGUUGUUGAUAUUGUUGGGUUCUGAAUUUGCAAUGUUGCCGUUGUUUUCGAUCGGAGUGGAGAUAUAGGUGUUGUUUGCUAGUUUGGCUGAGAUUGAAGGACCGUCAAUGUUAUUGUUGGUUUGUUUUGUGGUGAUUGUACUCUGGUUAAGGGAAAGUGGGACGAGCAUUGGGACGGAUCAAGAUUUGUUGGGCCUUAGUGGGUGCAGACGGAUUUGGACCUGAUCCCUUUUUAAUUAAUUAAAAGGGAGUUACUGAUAUGCAAAUUUGGGCCAUCGAUUUGGGCCGUUAAAUUAGUUAAGUUUUUGGGUUUGGGUAGAUUGUGGGAUUAGUUAGAAAAAUAACAUCAAUUUUAAUUCAGUUCAUUCUAUUUAAAUUUUAACCAAAUCAAAAGUAAAUUGGCCAAUUGUAUUGCAAUUAUAACCCAUUUAGUUUCAAUUAUGGUCAAAUUCAAUAGCUUGGCUAAAUUAAAAUAAAUCUUGAUACGAAUUAAUACCUAUUUUAAUCCCAAGUUUCUUGAUUUAAUAAAAUCAAACAAAUAUAUAUCCAAAAAAAUUAUUUGACAAUAAUUUUUUUUUAAAUCAAGACUUUAAUUAUUUAUUUAUUUUUCAAAUAAUCCUUAAUUUAAAGCCCAAUGUGAUGAAAAUGUUCAUUUAAAUGACAUCAUUUAUACAAUCUCAUAUAUGAAAAAAUGAAAAUAUAUAAUUAUCACUUAAAUGACCAAAUUAGCCCAAAUACCUAUUUUAAAAUGCAUUUAUUUGGAAAAAUAAUUUUUGUGAUUUUAUUUAAAAAUCGAAGAAGCUCGAGAUUAAAUGUAGUUGUAGAGGGAAAAAAUUAGGUGUCAACAACUGCCCCCUCCCUUUGGGUAGGAUGGAUGCAAGUAAUCCUGGACAAAGGGAGGUUGACGUUCCUAAUUUUUGUCCGACCAUAAAUUUGUAUCUAAGAGAGGCUGGUUUUCUGCACCAGUUUCAUGGAGUUAUGGCCAAACCUCGGUAUAAGGUUUCCUACAUAUCUCAAGUUUCAUGAGAAUUCAGGCCACUUGUAGUUCAUAAAGUUUGAUUUUGAGCAUGAUUUUAAAACAAUUCACAAGUUAUCUCGAUUUUAGAGUUUUUGAUAAAAUCGAGAAACUGGGGAAUAAAGGGAUUAGGGGGGAGUUUGGAAUUCAAUCGAGUUUUCUAAAUAGAUUUCAGCCUACAUAUCCCCAAGAUUUUAGGGAAUUAGAUUGCUUGUAGUUCGACUUGAUCGGUAGAAAAGAUUGUCUUUUAUUUCAGACGAUCUUUGGCUCAAGAUGAGUGGCAAGUUGAUCGAGUUGCGGAAAAGAGGCUUGUAACCUCUUAACCAUGAACGUAGAGCUCUUCACAUCUAUAUGUAAGAAUUUACCUAGGCAUAAUUUCAAAAACUCUAUAGCUUUAUCACUCACAUUCGAAGGAAAAAAAAAUUUCCCCUCGGUGUGAGUUAAGAAAACAUCCCAGAGGUAAAGCUAAGACUGUAAUAUCAAAAAAUACCCGCAUUCCUUCUAAUAGAGGCGUGGUUAGAUGGUGGUGGUGAUCAUUAUUUAGCUCGUGUCUAGAGAGGUUGACAUCUCUCUCCAGACUAUGUCCCAUUUUGCUGCCGAGAAAGAGUUCCACGUCGUGCUGUCUUCUUUUUUGGAGUCGUCUGCACCUGUGGUUUUGAUUUGAGAUUUUCAUCCUUUCGGAUUCUCUCAAUUAUUUCUCAUACAAAAAUCAUUAGUGAUAAGCUUAAUUCACAAAAGAAGUAUAUAGUAUUAUACCAUAUCUCCGCGUGAGUCAUUGUCUAAAAAGCGAAGUCAUCCUUUUUUGUACCUGUUUGAUAGGAAAUAACUCGCAAUAACAGACACAACAACCUCUUUGGUUGUUGCAUAAUUAGCUCAUCUAUCAAGCGAAUAUGUUUUCAAAGUGGGUGGCCCUUUUAGACACUGACGACACUUUAUACGGAACGGUCCCUACAAUCGUGUAAUCUUGUGCUGGUGGGGCAACCCUUUUGGUUACCUAUAUCACUUGUUGUAUAUGGAAUGGUAACCUCUCCGGUUAUAGACGAUGGCUAAUUUAUAAAUUUCCUUUAAAUUGUCAAUCUUUGAAUAAUCUUGCGCAUUAUUUAAUGUUGGAUACGAGGCAACUUAUAGAUAUUCUUUGAAUUUCUAGCUUUUAAGUAAUCCUGCACAUUAUCCAACUUUGGAUAAGAGAUGGCUUAUAGAUAUCCCUCCAAUCGCUAGCUUUCAGGUGUUCCUGCACAUCAUCCAACCUUGGAUACAAUAUGACUUAUAGAUAAUCUCUCAAAUUGUUAGUCUUUGGGUAAUCCUGCACAUAAUCGAUCUUGGAUAUGACAUGGCUUAUAGAGAACCCUUGGACGUACCAAUUUGAUAAUCUUGCAUAUUCUCCGGUAAGGAUUUAGUUUCGACUUAUGGAUAACCUUUGAACUAUCGACUUUUGGGUGAUCUUGCACACUAUCCGAUUAGGAUGUUGUUGUGGCUUACGGAUGACCUGCAGGCUAUCAACUCAUAGGUGAUCUUGCACACUAUCCUAUUUCAAAUAAUAUGACUUAUAGAUGACCCUCAAAUUUUUAAUUUCUAGGAAACCUUAUAUAUCAUUCAUCCUUAGAUAGCGACUUAAAGGCGUCCCUUCAAAUCAUGUGCUCUCGAUGCGUUCAGAUGCUGAUUUAUGAAAAGAUGGUGAUAUCCUCGAUGCCAGCAUUGUGUCUAGUGCGUCAAAAGAUAUAUUGAACGUUGAUGAUAUCCUCGAUGCCAGCGUUGUGUCUAGCGCAUCAACAGAUAUUAAAUGAUGAUGAUAUCCUCAAUGCCAGCAUUGUGUCUAGAGCGUCAACAGAUAUUGAAUGCCUUCUAGGGUGAUGGUAUUAGGUGGCCCUUGCGGCAAUGAUAUGAAAUGGGCCUUGCGGCAAUGACAUGAAAUUGUCCUUGCGGCAAUGAUAUGCAAUGGCCUUUGCGGUAAUGAUAUGCAAUGGCCUUUGCAGCAAUGAUAUGCAAUUGCCUUUGGGGCAAUGAUAUGUAAUAGCCUUUUCGGCAAUGAUAUGCAAUGGUCUUUGCGGCAAUGAUAAAAUAAUUUUACCUGGCUUUAUUUGUCAGUGUCCUGCUUUCUCUAUGUACCGGUACUCAAGGUAGACGAUUAGUAGACACAAAGUCGCUUCUACUAGCGACUAUUUUUAGGAAACUUCUAAAUACAACAUUUGUAAAGAAGACAAAGAGCUUUUUCUUGUCGCCUACGAUCUCAAGAAAUGAGAUGGAAAAAUCGAAAGUUCCUCAAUAAAUGGGCAUUUAACCUAUUUUUAGAGCUACCCUAAAAUACCGUUCUUGGGUAUUAAUGCUCUAUUAUGGCUCCCACUUUGCUCGGGGAUUUUUUAAAGAGACCAUCAUUUUGUAUAUUGAACCUUGCUUCCACAGAAAAAUGAUUAUUUUGAAUGAAAUUACUCUGUGUUGACCUUUUUCGAUCCUUGAUUUGCUCCUUGCCAUCUCUUGUGAAUUCCACCAUAUCGGUACUUUCAUCAUGACACUCCAUCCCAAAUGAUGUCUAGGCAAGUACUAAAUAAGUGAGUCAUAAGAUUUUUGAAAAUAGUCUUAAAUUUUUUGAAAAUAAUUUUGAAAACUUUUGUAAAACUUUAGAAAAUCUCUGUCAGUCAUGUCAUGUACUAGCUCAACGAAAGUCUUCCUCGUGGUUUUGACUAUAUCAGACGGAUGGUUUCCCAAACUCAUGAUCAUUGUUGGAGGUUUUAUUCGAAUAGUUCUAUCAUAGCCAAAAAUUGAGUCUACCCAGACUUUAUUACAAUUGGUGGCUUCCAAAUCUUGACUUUAACCUUUGGUGCUGGGGAAUUUGGAAUAUUUUCCGGCAUUUGGUGAAAUUUUGAGGUCUUCCUCAAAAUUUCUUCCCCAGCUUAAAGUUGUUUGAGAUGAUAUCAAUCCAAGUAGAUCUGAAGUCUUUGCUGAUCUUCAUUCUAUUUGUUGGAUGUCAAUCUUAUCUUCUGAAUUUUUGAGAUUCCUUCUCAAAAAUUCUGCCCCAGUUUUUAUUUCCUGGGGUUAUAUGACCGACAUGUCGGGGCGCCUACAUAUCCCGUUGAAGUAGGAAUCAGGUCAAACAUAGUUCAGGACUACGCUAGGGAUAUAUAAAGAAAAAUCUAAUGGGUUGAUUGAAGCCGACAUAGGCCGCCUAAGUAUCCCUUUUGUUGGGAAUUCAGGUCAUCACGUAGUUCAUACAUAAAGUGAAACGAUAAAUUAUCCUAAGGGGUUGACCAAAGCCGACAUAGGCUGCCUCCGUAUCCCUUUCUUUGGAAUUCAGGUCAAACGUAGUUCGUACAUAGAGGGAAAGGAUAAAUUUUCCUAAGGGGUUGGCCGAAGCUGACAUAGGCCGCCUACGUAUCGCUUUCUUUGGAAUUCAGGUCAAACGUAGUUCGUACAUAGAGGGAGAGGAUAAAUUUUGAUAAGGGGUUGACCGAAGCCGACAUAGGCUGCCUAUGUAUCCCUUUCUUUGGAAUUCAGGUCAAACGUAAUUCAUACACAGAGGGAAAGGAUUAAUUUUCCUAAGGGGUUGACCGAAGCCGACAUAGGCCGCCUAUGUAUCCCUUUAUUUGGAAAUCAGGUCAAACGUAGUUCGUAUAUAAACUCAUAAUGGCCCUAAAAAUACUCUUAUCCAUCUUACUAGGAUAUAAAUAAGUACUUCUAUGGAUGACAUGCCGUUUGCAUUGCGUUUGUCUUGAUAGAACAAAGGAUCAAAUGUCCAAUGGAGUCAUCGCCUUCCUAGUUAACCACCUCGGUUUUCUCUAGAUUAGGCUUUUUUGAUUCUCGAACUCUUUGAGUCUUCUGUCGACUUUUCUAGGGCUACCAUUAUUUUGUUUCUUGACAUGACAUGAAAAUGGCAAAUUUUAAGUUACUGUUAUACGACGGGUGAUGAAUCAUGAGUGGAGUGGAGGUCCAAUUCAAUAAUGUUUCGUCCAAUUAAACGUCCAUGAUCCCAUUUGUCUUGGAAAAAUCUCCCCUUACAUUUUUCCCUUAUUCCAUCCUCGAGACUAUCGCAUACAGGGUUGAAAAAUGAUUGGUAGAGUCCAACCAUACUACUAGUCAUUUUUCUUUUCCUGUAACAAAACUAUAGUCAAGAAGGGGAUCUCUUAUUCAUUUUGAUCUGGUGAAGCAAGGUCAUUUUGUGUCAACACAGAGUAGUUUCUAUUACCUGCAAUAAAAACAACUCAAACGCCGAUUUAUUAGUUUCCGUAUGUGAUAAGUAAUGCAAAAUACUUGAUAAGAAAUGACCACAUAGAGUUGUUUGAGUCAUAGCCAAAUUCAUCCAUAGAAGCAUAGCGGAUAAAAUUUCCUUUGAUCCAAACAAACACACAUAAGCACAUAAGGCAAUUAUAUCACACAAAACAUUAUAAUAAUGUGUAUCCUAACUGGGGUGACCCUUUUUGAGCCAAGGGUUCAGGCCUAACGAUUUUCGAGGAAAAUAUAUGCUUCCUAAAAGUCAAUACAUUAUCCCCCAAUUUUCAUAGAGGUUGUCAGGUUCGGUGACUAUUCUAAACUUUUCGCGGGAAUGCAAUUGAGCCAUAUCUACACGAAAGCAGACAAAGAUAAGCCUUCCCCCACCAUCAAAGGGUAAUGGAUUGAAUUUAGACAAGCAUAUAUUUCUUCAACACAUAAAUAUGAUUCAUCUAUAAUUGACUCGGGAUUAAUAAACGCAAGGCAGUUUUUCUAAUCGGCCCAAUACACCGCUCGGGUAUUGGGUCGCCCUAGACUUAUGCAUAAAAAUAGGGUUUCAAUUUUGCUCUAUCCUAGGUAGCCAGAGAGGGUUUGAACAAUGGUUCUUAAGCGGACAACUUGAGUUUGAAAAUAAAAACAGCCAUAAGACGACUCACGUGCUAAUAAACUGUUUGUAUUUCCAUCAGAUCUUUGAAAUUGAUCAAUAGGGGCCAGGAUACCUACGAAACGCCAAAACAGUUUAUAUAAUGCAGGAAUAUACCAUGAGUGCGAUAGUUAAAUUUUAUAGAAUCGAAACAUAUAAACACAUAAACAAUUAAUCAAAAGACGAAAUCAAACAUUCAGUUUAGAACCUAGUUCAAAAAAUCCCCACCAGAGUCGCCAUUUCUGUUUUACGAAGAAAUUUUGACUUAUUGAGAAGAGAGUCGCCACUUAAUUUUCAAAAGGAAUUAAGAACCUUUAGAAAGUUACUUCAAAUGAUUUAAAACAGAAAAAUCGUUUAAGUUAAGAGAUUCUGAGUAAGUAGUUCCUAUUAACAUUUUAGGAAGGUGUUAGGCAUCUAAAACAUCCGCUAACUUGUGGUUAUCCAAACUGUUUGAAAACGUCUUUUGAUUAACUUCUAAAAAGAUUAAUUUGUUGGAAAGUGAUUGAUUUUUUAGAAAAAAGACACGUGUAAGAUAGAUUUAGGCAACUUAGUAGGGAUUUUAACUAAGUCUAAACAAAAUUAAUAAACAAAUAAACACAUAAAAGGGAAGGGAGGAGAAAGUAAAGGAUUUAGGCCAUUAGGCCCAAAUCAACAAGACCUGUCCUAGUCUAAUUGGACUUCCGACCCAUUUCUCCUUUCACCUGUCCUAUUCCUAUGUUUUCGAGCCCUUUGGAUCAAGUUUUCGCUUCACCUGUGUUAAGUACAACUUUGGCUUCGAGGCCGAAAUGAAUGAAUAAUUAAAUAAGUAAAAUAAAUAAAAUAAGGACGUUAAUGCUUAAAUAAAUAAAACGACAAAUUAUACUUUCGCAUCUUUUUGCCGCUUCAGAUAUGGGAAUUUAACCCAUUUUUCUUCUUUUAUCUUCUUGCGCCCAUACGUCAAGUGAAUGACUUCGAACUUGGUCUUUGGAAUCGGCUAGAAGAAGUGGGCUGCAUUGGCCCACAAANNNNNNNNNNNNNNNAAGAGUCCUUGUAUGACUCAGGCAAUUUCCAUGUGAAGAACAAUAAAUAAUAUUAACAUAUGAUUGACCAAAGAAAAAGGAAAGAAAUUAAAGGAAAUUAAUGUGAGUUUAACUAAAAAUGGCAGCAUACGGAUCUUCAAUAAUAAAUAAAGUAGGAAAAUUCACAAAGGUUGGUAUGCGACUAAACAAAGAUAGAAGAAGAUAUAAAGGUAGCGAAUACGUGAUUAACUAAAGAACUACAUGACACAGAUCUUAACUAAUCUGUUAGGACAUUGUUUUCGAAGAUGGCAAAACAAAUUCAAGAAUAUAAAGGCAAAGCAUAUGACACCUUCACGACUAAUUUGGAAUAAUUGCUUAUGCACAUAGGGAUAAGAUUAGCCCACGUUGAGAAGACUCAUUAAAGGACAAUAAAUAUUUGGGUAAAAGCUCAUAGCCCAAACAAAGGCUCUUUCUUGGAAAACAUUUAAACCAAAGCAAUGAUUUUAACAUAAAAUCUUCUCACGGAAAUCACACAUUUUACAUCUAUUGGCACUCAAUCGCAACGGAGAACUAAUCAAUACCUAAAGCAUGACUUCAAGAUAUUCUCUAGAACAAACUGAUGCCUGAAACAGAGACAGUAACCAUCUUUCAUUAACACAAUUGGAGACACAACGUGAAUUGUAGAAUGCAACGCCAUCACAUAUACACACAUUUUUUUAACAUGCUCAUACGCAUGGGGAGUCUUUAAAUAUUCCGAUUAUAAGGAAAGAAAACACUAAUCUCAUGAAAAUAUUUCAAACUUUGAAUGUAAUUCAACCCAGGCAAAACCAACACCCACCAAAAUAAAAAAUGCAAUCUUGAGUAAUGACAUGAAAAUCAGAAAAUUACCGCGACUAUGGAAUAGAGAAAACAAAGAACAUGGAAAACGGAGGACACAAGAUGGAACAUUACCGGUUCAACAGUUACAAUAAUGACAAAUAGUGACGGCAAGCAAAACUAUAGAAUGCUUCAAUCCUCUUCCUCUUUCCGACCGAGUCGAACAAAAUGGUCAUUGAGAUAUCCUAGGAUUUUUGGUACGUUUUUUGGACCUUACUCUCAUUUUCCCUUUGGCAUAUAAUAAACCAAAGGAGCCUACGAGGUGGUCCUGCUAGCAACACUGCUAGCUCAACAGCCGUGACACCAACUAGUGGUAACCACAUGAUCAACACAGUCAAACAACAACUAUGAACCAAACAGCAUCUGGCUAGAAACUGCUAAAUAAACUAAAAGCAACAGACUUUAGCCAAAAAACCAAUCAUUCUAUCCACAAGCAAUACGCCAAGAGAGACAUUAGGCCGAAGAUUAAUCCACAACACCAAAAGUGGCUGACAGAUUACGGAACCAAGAUUAGAAAAAAGGGAACAGACGGAAACGAUGUGAUACAAUCCGAAUAAGAAUUAAUCCUAACAUAACAAUACAUCCAAAACUUUUCACUAAAAAAAAAACCUUAUAUGGUCUUUAAAACCUCUAAAGCAGUCAGCCCAGCAUACAAGAUAAUCUCAAAUUGCUUAGGACUACAGAAUAGUGAGAUGAAGCAGAAGCAAUCUUAAGCUUAAAGGAAUAGGAAGUUACCUUACAGGAAGCGGCAAAACGGGACGUGAGAUAUCAGUAAAAUUGUCACCACGGGGAGCUAAUAUUGCCGACUCAAGAAUUCCCAAUCAAUCGACUAGCUUUCCAGAAAAGAAUGAACGAGAGAAUUUUCGCGAAAUAAACUUUUACUUUCAGAAUUUCCCAAAAUUCAAACCUAUCUUUGGAAAUAGUAUCCCCAAAAGAANNNNNNNNNNNNNNNNNNNNNNNNNNNNNNNNNNNCCCCAAUUUUCAAACCAGCCUAAAAAUUUCUCCUUCAGUUUCUUUCAAAACCUUCGAAUCUUCGACCUAAACUUCAAACUAAAAUACUCAAAACUUUUCCUUUCUCUCAGACCUCAAAAAUUCAAACCAUACAAAUGAUGCAGAAGAAAACCCUUCCCUUUUUGAACCUCCCCCCAUUUUCGACUGAUUAAUUUUUUUUCUAAGAGCCUAAAAUGAGAAAAUCCCCUUCCAGAAGAGAAAGAAGAACACUAAAACAAUGGCCCCAAGGGCCUUUAUAGAAGAAAGGGUUGGGGCAUUUUCGGAACUCGGAAGAAGGAAUUUUGAAUUCCAAUUUCAAAAUCCCCCCCCAAUGAGAAAUCUCCACCAACGUACGAAUUUGUACCAUGGUACCCGAGAUUCGUGGGAUUUGAACGUUGGGGUGAGCCAACUCACCCAUUUCUAGAAGCUUUCUUAAAUUUCCACGGCAAACAAAUGAAAUCUAGGAGGGUCGAAGUCGGGUCGAUGUUGGUGUUGUUGUUUCGGAUAUGGGAGAUGGGUUAGCUGGUUGUUGAUAUUGUUGGGUUCUGAAUUUGCAAUGUUGUCGUUGCUUUCAAUCGGAGUGGAGGUGUAGGUGUUGUUCGCUGUUUUUGUUGAGAUUGAAGGACUGUUGAUGUUAUUGCUGGUUUGUUUUGUGGAGAUUGUACGCUGGUUAAGUGAAAGUGGGAGGAGGAUUGGGCCGAAUCAAGAUCUGUUGGGCCUUAGUGGAUGCAGACGGAUUUGGGCCUGAUCCCUUUUUAUUAAUUAAAAGGGAGUUGCUGAUAUGCAAAUUUGGGCCUUUAAAUUGGUUAAGUUUUCGAGUGUUGGGUAGAUUGUGGGAUUACUUAGAAAAUUAACACCAAUUUUAAUUCAGUUCAUUCUAUUUAAAUUUUAACCAAAUCAAAAUUCAAUUAGCCAAUUGUAUUGCAAUUAUGAUCCAUUAGUUUCAGUUAUGGUCAAAUUCAAUAGCUUGGCUAAAUUAAAAUAAAUCUCGAUACAAAUUAAUACCUCUUUUAAUCCCAAAUUUCAUGAUUUAAUAAAAUCAAACAAAUAUAUAUCCAAAUAAAAUAUUUGAGAAUAAAUUUUGUUUAAAUCAAGACUUUAAUUAUUUAUUUAUUUUUCAAAUAAUCCUUAAUAUAAAGCCCAAUGUGAGGAAAAUGUUCAUUUAAUUGACAUCAUUUAUACAAUUUCGUAUAUGCAAAUACGAAAAUAUAUAAUUAUCACUUAAAUGACAAAAUUAGCCCAAAUACCUAUUUUAAAAUGCAUUUAUUUGGAAAAAUAAUUGUUGUGAUUUUAUUUGAAAAUCGAAGAAGCUCGAGAUUAAAUGUAGUUGUGGAGGGUAAAAAUUAGGUGUCAACAACUGCUGGGUCAUGUUGUGCUCAGUUGUUGUGGAUCAAACAACAAAUUUUGGAUUUUGGGGUAGAUGUAGGUUGUGUUUCCAUCUUUUGUGAUAACACAAGUGCUAUAAACAUAGCCAAAAACACUGUCCAACACAAGAAAACUAAGCAUAUUGAUAUUCGCCAUCACAAGAAAACUAAGCAUAUUGAUAUUUGUCAUCACUUUCUUAGAGAAAAUGGUGAAAAAGAAAAUGUAUCAAUUAUGUUUUGUUCAACUGAGGAAUAAAUUACUGACAUAUUUAUUAAGGCUUUGAGUAGGGAACACUUUGUAAAAAAUAGGUUAGCAUUGGGGAUGAUUAAAAUUGCAUAAAUAUCCCUCAGUGAUUGACUAGAAUAUGCUAUGCCUUAGUGAGUGUUGAUUAAUUCAGUCUUACACAUUUAGUUGUGUAUCCUAAUUCCAAGAUUUUAAAGCAUAGUGGUAUAACCAUGUGUUGUUUUUUGCAGAUAGACUGGAUCAUCAAGACAACAGUGGUUAUGGACUAAUCAAAAAAUAGGUAUGAUUACUGUUUUCCAUAGUAUCAUUAAGAGAAACGGGUUAUCUACAUGGUUCUCUCUGUUAUGAUUAAAACCGCCAAAACCCAACAGUCUUCUUCUUCGAAAGGCUGACAGACCUUUCCCAUUAGUACAAAACUUCUAUAUCAGUACGUUUCUCCAAAUCACAGUUUCCUCACGUUUCAACUUCCUUCUCAUUCCUCUUAAAUAUGCCUCUUAUUUUCUCUUCCAUCUCCAGUUUUUUUCAACCUCUGAAAAUCCAACAAGCUAUGGUGUAUUCCUCCCCCUCUCCUUCCUCCACAAAAUCUACUACUAAUCCUUAAAAAAAAAUUAUUCUUCACCCAAACAUCACUUUAGCUUCACUUAUCCGACCCUAAAUUUCUCUCAAAUUAUCUGAUUUUCCAUUGUUCAAAACUUUACCACAACUCUUCUCUCACUCCUCUUUCAAACCCUCACUUUUUUCAAAACCCUUACUACUACUUGUGGUUUCUCUUCAGAUCCUUGAUCGAGAUGACGUUCCUAUUGCUCACCUUAUCCCUAGAAGGUAAAGAUCAACUCUAAAAUGAAAACCAUCUUUUCUCACUAUUAAUGUUGAUGCCGAUACUCAGGUACAAUCUUCUCCCAUCAUCCAUUCAACUCGAACUCUACAUACUCGGGGAAAGAAACAACGGGAAGAUGCUUAUUUGGAAGAGGCACUUAGGGAAAGUAAAAAAAAAUGAGUAGUGUCUACUGCUUCUCUCCCAUGUGAUCCCUCUCCUGAUAUUCUCCUUCUCUCCAAAUGAAAACAAAAGCAUAUUAUAGCUAAAACCUCAAAGCCCUCAUUCUCUCAUAAAUUGUCCUCCUCUCCCACUCCCAAAGCCUCCUCAUCCUCAAAAUCCACUGUCAAAGCUUCUACUAUAAAAGUCUCUACUGGUAAAGGGUCAACCUCUUCUAAAGAUUCUAUAAACUCUACUUCACUUCCAAAUAAACAAGUUCCCAAGCCUAUUUCUUCUAACCCAUCUUACACAAAUUCAGACUCUCUUCCUGAUACUCCUUAUGUUCCUUCUACUUCCAUUGAUUCUGAUAGUGAUAUUCAUGUUGAUACUGCUCAAACCAUGCUCUGCACUUUCAGAAAUGAAAGAUGGCUAGAGGUAGAGUUGUCACUGCCUUUGGGGGUUCUGAUAUAGAUAUGUUAGUUUCAAAAUUGAGAGCUUAGGGGUAGUCGUACUUGUUUCUGCAAAGUGAUCAUCAAAGAAGGUUUGGUAUAAAUGAGGUAUAUGAGUUUUAUACAAAUAGAGUUGUGAUUGGAGAAAUGAUCUCAACCACUGUUCAUGGAAAACCAUCAAUCUUUAUUCUGCUAAUCUUGGUAGAAUUCUUAGUGUUCCUACUGGAGGUUGGGGUCAUUAUAUGAAGGGAUCCUGGCCACCUCUUGAUAAUCUUCCACAGUUCUUGAUAUCUAUAGAAAAUUCUCUGGGAAUCCUCUUCUUUUUCUCAUUGUAGGGUGAUAAAAAAUAAGAUGUCCCCUCUCUAUCAGUUUAUUUUGAUGUGGUUCACAAAAUGAUCUUGCCCAGGCAGGAAAGGCACACAGUUGCAAGUUUUCUUGAUCUUACCUUGAUGUAACUAUUGGAUUCUGAGAUUCCAAUAGACCUUCCUCUACUCAUCAUUAAGCAUAUGCAAAGGGUACUUGCCAAAGAUACAAAUGGUCGAGUUUUAUACAAAUAGAGUUGUGAUUGGAGAAAUGAUCUCAACCACUGUUCAUGGAAAACCAUCAAUCUUUAUUCUGCUAAUCUUGGUAGAAUUCUUAGUGUUCCUACUGGAGGUUGGGGUCAUUAUAUGAAGGGAUCCUGGCCACCUCUUGAUAAUCUUCCACAGUUCUUGAUAUCUAUAGAAAAUUCUCUGGGAAUCCUCUUCUUUUUCUCAUUGUAGGGUGAUAAAAAAUAAGAUGUCCCCUCUCUAUCAGUUUAUUUUGAUGUGGUUCACAAAAUGAUCUUGCCCAGGCAGGAAAGGCACACAGUUGCAAGUUUUCUUGAUCUUACCUUGAUGUAACUAUUGGAUUCUGAGAUUCCAAUAGACCUUCCUCUACUCAUCAUUAAGCAUAUGCAAAGGGUACUUGCCAAAGAUACAAAUGGUCAUGAUCUACCCUACCAGUUCUGGCUUGCAUCUCUUUUCAAUGAUUUUUGUGUACUGGUCCUUGCAGACUACUAAGGAUGUGAUUGGACAAGUGAACCAUGAUAGGUUACCUACUGCUAUGAGACAUGUAGAAAACCCUAUGCAAAAGUUGAGAAAUGCCUUAGAGGCAAAGUAGGGUGAGCUGGAGGUUGCACAGGCUGCAUUGAAGGCUACCCAGACUAUUCAUGAAGAUGAAAAGAGGGUCCUUGAAGCUCAAAUUGCUUCUCUCACAAUCACCUAUGAUAAGGAAUGAACAUAAAAUGCUGAUAUCAUUAGGAAUUUGACCUCCCUUAUCCCCUCCACCUCCUCUAAUUAAAAUCCUUCUUUGUCCCUUAGGCCUUUUCACUAUGUUGUUCUUCUGUCUAACUUUUUUCUCUUUUUGUUUUACUGGGUAAUGAUAAUUGUAUCUAUUUUUUUGUGCAUGAAAUGGACCUUUUUUCAUUCACUUGAUCUACUUCUGGUUAAUUCAAUGCAUAGUUAUCUCUUUCUCUGAGUCUUGCUUGUUUUAGUGAUAUCCCAGUAGCCAUGAAUUAUUAAACAAUUUUCACUUGAUGGCUCAACUUUUCGAUGAUGUCAAAAGGGGGAAGAAUAGAUUAUACAAUUCUUAUAACUCAAUUGGACUAACCUGUUUCAUUCUACUGUGAUUCUGUUAUUUAAUUCCUUCUUGAGUAUGUUAGGAUUUUGUGAUGUUAAAGCUACUAUGGUUGCCAACAUCAAAAAAGGAGAAUUUGUUAAGGCAUGAGGAGUUUUGAUGAUAGACAUGUGAAUGAAACGUGUUAUAGAAAAUGGUCCAUUCAAGUGAAAUAGUCUAGCUGGCACAAGAGUUUGGAUGAUAUGAUUCUGCACUCAAGACAAGCAUAGAUAACAUUGAUCACAUAAAAAGCUGAGUCAAACAAGAACUCUUGAAGAAGUCAAGUUGAUCAAGGAGUUCAGUAAGAAGAGGAUUUGAAGUAAAAAAGUCCUAUCAAAUCUAGGAUAGGUGAGGUAGCAGCAAAAGGAAAAGAGUUAACUGAUAGAGUUCUACUGAAGAAAGAAUUGAACAUCAAAAAGGACUCUAUCAUAGGUUGGCUUAAAUACAACAAAUGUGACUCAAAUCCAAUACUCACGCACACACUAAAAAGUUAAUCAACAAUCAGUAUAUCAGUUCACAUACUUGAAGAAGAAC